Molecule: ribosomal RNA, 180 nt
Filed under: uncultured Glomeromycotina
Lineage: Eukaryota; Fungi; Glomeromycota
Description: partial small subunit ribosomal RNA
Rfam family: Eukaryotic small subunit ribosomal RNA (bases 47-180)
Source: RNAcentral
GGACUAACAGGUUGGUCGCGCCUUCGGUGUGUACUGGUCUAGUUGGUUUCUCCCUUCUGAUGAACCACGAUGUCAUUAAUUUGGUGUCGUGGGGAAUCAGGACUGUUACUUUGAAAAAAUUAGAGUGUUUAAAGCAGGCAUUAGCUUGAAUACAUUAGCAUGGAAUAAUAGAAUAGGACU